AGGUUCAUGGCAUGGCUUCCACCUUGGCUUGCAGUUCAUUUAACACGUUACCAGACGCUUCUGGAGAAGCACUGGGAAGAACAUGGUAAACCUGCUGCUGAUGCAUUGUUACAGAAGGCUAUAAAGGAA
Coffea arabica (coffee) is the source of this 129-nucleotide non-coding RNA. NCBI's taxonomy places the organism in Eukaryota, Viridiplantae, Streptophyta, Magnoliopsida, Gentianales, Rubiaceae. The record is from RefSeq and is a predicted model, not a curated record.